This is a long non-coding RNA of Centruroides sculpturatus (bark scorpion), 725 nucleotides long. RefSeq lists it as uncharacterized. The record is from RefSeq and is a predicted model, not a curated record. The transcript has 3 exons. Lineage: Eukaryota; Metazoa; Arthropoda; Arachnida; Scorpiones; Buthidae.
ACCUAAAAAGAAUAUCAAAACUUCUGUUUGUGAAGAACAGGUGAAGUUUUCAUUUCCAAAACUGUGAUGCCAACAGUACAGCAUGCAAUAAUCCAGUAUAAUUGAUACAGUACUCCUGCAAGUUUGACUUAAUGUAUUAUGUGGACAAAGUGACAAGUUACCAAAAAUGAUGAGGUUUAUAAUUCCAGAACUUGAGGCAGACAACUUACAGAAGAAAACACUAAUGAUAAAUAAUUUUUAUGACAAGAUGCUGAAUAGUUAAAUCUAAGUAGAACUUACAAGAAGCAGCACAAGGAUUGUUGAUUUGAUAAUCUGAAAGCCACUCCAACAAGAUUUCAACCAUUUACAUAGUUAUUACAUUGAUAGUAAAUAAAAUAGCAUUAAGCUUAGUGAACAAUUGGGAUCUUUUCUAUUAAUCAUUAUAUUGUGGCAAAUCAUGAAAUUGAGAGUCACUAUAAAGCAAGGCUACUGUAUAAUAAAUGUAUUAAAAAAAAAAUGGUUUUUAAUUAAAAAAAGUUAAAGAUUAUUGCAUUUUUUAUUUUUUUUAUUCCAUCAAUCUGGGAACUUUAUUGCCACUGUAUUUCUUACAUAUCUAUUAUGAAGAUUCUUUUAUGUAAAAUCAGAUUUCUUAAUUUUUAUAUAUUUUUCAUUUCAAAAUAAAAAUCUUAUAUGAAAUUUACCAUUAUUAAAAAUAUCUAAUUAAUUAAAAAUUAUAUUUAUACAAA